RNAcentral lists this small nuclear RNA (180 nucleotides) under Peromyscus maniculatus bairdii (prairie deer mouse). Its description in RNAcentral is "U1 spliceosomal RNA (ENSPEMG00000000872.2)". It matches the Rfam family "U1 spliceosomal RNA". Rfam says of the family: U1 is a small nuclear RNA (snRNA) component of the spliceosome (involved in pre-mRNA splicing). Its 5' end forms complementary base pairs with the 5' splice junction, thus defining the 5' donor site of an intron. Lineage: Eukaryota; Metazoa; Chordata; Mammalia; Rodentia; Cricetidae. The record is from RNAcentral.
AUACUUACCUGGCAGGGGAGAUACCAUGAUGACGAAGGUGAUUUUCCCUGGGCGAGGCUUAUCCAUUGCACUCUGGAUGUGCUGACCUCUGCGAUUUCCUCAAAUGCGGGAAACUCGACUGCAUAAUAGAAAAGAAAAAAAAACAACUUCUAUCAUUUGUGUGAAAGCUUUUUCUUUUUC